UGAGGAAUAUUGGUCAAUGGGGGCAACCCUGAACCAGCCAAGUCGCGUGAAGGAUGAAGGUCUUAUGGAUUGUAAACUUCUUUUACACGGGAAUAAAGUGGGGGACGUGUCCCCCUUUGCAUGUACCGUGUGAAUAAGGAUCGGCUAACUCCGUGCCAGCAGCCGCGGUAAUACGGAGGAUCCGAGCGUUAUCCGGAUUUAUUGGGUUUAAAGGGUGCGCAGGCGGGAUGUUAAGUCGGCGGUGAAAUUUUGCAGCUCAACUGUAAUAGUGCCUUCGAUACUGGCCUCCUUGAGUGUGGAUGAAGUAGGCGGAAUUUGUGGUGUAGCGGUGAAAUGCUUAGAUAUCACGAGGAACUCCGAUUGCGCAGGCAGCUUACUAAGCCACAACUGACGCUCAUGCACGAAGGCGUGGGGAUCAAACA
RNAcentral lists this ribosomal RNA (422 nucleotides) under uncultured bacterium. Its description in RNAcentral is "bacterial SSU rRNA". It matches the Rfam family "Bacterial small subunit ribosomal RNA", at positions 355 to 774 of the family's 1533-position model. The record is from RNAcentral.